GGGGAGGGGACCUGCAGGCUCACACCUGGAGCAGCCCCGUCACUCCGGAGCUGGGACGCGGGAGGGGAACUGUGAGCACGUGACUGUCUUGCCCUGGUCGUUCUCUCUUGACAGCCGUUGGCUUAGGUGGCGCCGGAACUCCAACUGAAGCUGAAAAAGGUUGUGCUCCGACACGGGUAAGGACUUCCCAGUGGGCUUCCCUGCAGGGUUCCAGCGGAGAAGGGGAGAUUGGAGGUGGCAGAGCUCGCAGUUUUGGAGCUAAGCUUGGGAAACGAUGCAGGUGCUCAGCAUGGAGCCCAACAGAUAUGCGCCCUUCUGUGGUGAGGUCUUCUGUCUGAUGGGAAGAUGGACACAAACAAGUGAACCAGCGUCUGCCUAAGUCAUUCCGGAGUGAAGUGCUUCCUGCAUACGCACCCGGCAUAGGACUCCGGAGUCACGUGGUGGAGGGGACGACAGGUGACCUGAGACCUGAAGACCGGAAGGAGCCCCGGGGUGGGGAUGGGUGUCCCAGGAAGCCCAGGAGUGUGAGCGAGAGCCCUGAAGCCUGGCCCAGGUGGGUCUGUCGGGGACACAAGAGGAAGCCCAGCGAGCCUGGCUGGAGCGAGGAGCCUGCAUUGUCUUCUGAUCACCGGAGAGGGUUGCUGUGGGAGUGAAGUAACGUGAUGAUGCGAGCAAGAAACCCCUCGGGCCCCUCGGGCGAGAAGAGUGGACAGCGAGGCAGAAGUGGUGAGAGAGACUGGGCAGGAGGCAAUGGUGGGACCAGGCGAGAGGUGCUGGGGCUUGAACGAGGCUGGUGGCCGUGGAGACCAGAGAAGUGGACCUGUGUGAGACCUAUUCUGGCGGGGCAAGGCGGUGUUGAUGGGACUUAGUGAAGCAGCAGCAGAUGGGAGGGGUGGGAGGCAGGAGGAAUGGAGCGGGGCUCUGGGCUUCUAGCUGGGUCGGGGAUGGGGGUUGAGGAUGGCCACAAAUGUCUGCUCCUAUGUUGAGAGUCGGAGGCUGUUCCCCUCCCCCCAAGUCUGGGCAGCCUCAGGGACAUUUGGACCUAUAGGCUACCCCGUGACUUAUACUGUUUCCAGCUCCGACGGGAUGAGAGAGAAGGGAAGGAGCCUGGGGACGCUCCCAUGUUAGAAGCCAGACAGAGAGGAGGAAUGGUACAGUGGACUGAGCAGGUGUGGCCAGGGAUGGAGGCGGAAAGCCAGGUAGGAGAGAUCAGGCAGCCAGGAGGAGAGAGUGUUUCAAGACGGGGGGCGCGGGGGAGAGGUGACCCGUGUGCAAUGCUACCCAAUUUUUCGAAUGAGCUGAGCACAGAGAUAUGUCCACUAGGUUCGGCAACAGGGACUUUGGGCGACCUUGCUGAGAACAGUCGUAGUGGAGGAGGGAGGCUGGAAGCUGGAUUGGAAUGGCACAUGGGAGCCAGUGAAUUGGAGAGAACAAUCAUAGGCAACUUUUCAGAAAGUUUUAAUGCAAAGGGAAGCGGAGAACUGGAGUGUUGGCUGGAAGGGAAUGCGAGGGCCACAGGAGGGUUCCGUCCAACUUUGGAGGAUACAAACCGAGUCUGCGCUGAGGGCACUGACUGCUAGGAGGGAAGGACCUGGUGAUACAGAGCAAAGGCACUACCCCAGAGCAAAGUCCCUGAUAAAGUCAGGGGGUCGGCAGGGGGACCCAGAGUGCAAAUGACAGAGCUGGCUUUGAAAAGAGCAGGGACAGACAAUGACUCUAGAGGCCGAACAGAAGGGGAGAUGGGUUUGUAGAUUUUGCUGUACAAAGACCAGGGAAGCUCCUCUGAUGGUUUCCGUUUUUUCAGUGGAGUGGGAGCAGGUCACUGCCACAGCGAGAGAGGCACAGAGGACUGGGUGAGGACCAUGGGUUAGGUGUGAAAUCACGGUCACGACCAAGGCCACCGGAGAAACAGAGUGGGGUUUUCAGCUGUACAGAGUGACCAUUCAGAGUUACUGCCCAUGAACUUGUGAUGUCCCUGGCUUGCCAGUCUGUUCUCUGUCAUACGUAGCAGGUGCCGAGCACAAGUCCUUCCCCCAAGUAAUCCAAUGAUCUCAACUGACAGUUGGGAAAGCCAAGACUCAGAAAGACUUUCUGGUUCCCCCACGCAGUUGCUGGGGGCUGAACAGGACCUCCAGCCCAAGCCUGCGCACACGCCUCUGCCCAGGCCAAAUUUGUGCAAGGGCUAAGUUGACUUUCCUACCUGGUAGUGUUUGUGGAUUUCAGGGGUCAGGGCAAGUGGGAAAAUGCUGAACAGAGAAACGCAGCUCUCCCUUUUGUGUGAUAUUUCUGCAUCACUGGUGUUGGGGCCAGUUGGGUAUAAAAGGUCUCUGGGUGCUGCUUCCUUGCAAAGUCUGGGCGCUGAGUAGUGGCACCAUUUGCCGUCUUCACCCACAUCUACAGGGCUAGCUUCCUGCAAACACUGGGCCAGGAGUACUGGGAUAUUCAGGGUUAGCAGUUGCCCCCCCCCACCAUGUUAAUUAUCUCUCCUCCUUCAAUUCUGCAUCCCUUUCAGUAAAGAAGACUCCCCCCGGGGCGCAUAGGAAGCUUGGUGAGAUCAUCAGUGAACAUCUCUGAAGGCUGGUCCAAGCUUGGAAUGCCUGUUUACAGAAACACGUCCGCAAUUCACUUGAUGUUUCCGGGAAGUCCUGAUCUUCUCACCCGGGAAUGUUAAUAAAAGGGUCUUGAAAAGUACAAGAGGCUCUCCCAUGGUUGCCAGCACAUUUUAGACUUGGCCUUUCCAUCCCCCAGCAGAAAAUGAUAAAAGCCCAACAGAGGGGUGAAUUCCAAUCCCGUAGGAAGAGUCACUGUUAAGAGCUGGGUCCCUAAGGGGAAAUACUGGGAUAUGACCUUACUGGUCUUGAUGGGCUGAAUGAGGCCCCAAGAACGAUAUGUCUGUGUCCUAAUCCCUGGGACCGACAAAUGUUACUUUAUUUGGAAGAAGAGUCCUUGUAGAAGCGAUUAUCUUGAAAUGAGAUCAUCCUUGAUAUCGGGGUGGGCCGUGAAUCCCCUGGCCAGGGUCCCUACAAAAAACACAGAGGGUCACAGAAGAGGAGGGAGGCCACGUGAGCGCAGGUGCAGCGAUCGGGGUGAUCUGACCAAGGAACCCCUGGGACCUCCAGAAGCUGGAGGAGGCCAGAAGCGUUUUCUCCCCGAUAGCCUCUAGAGGGAGAAAGCACUUGUGGAAACCUCCAGAAUGGUCAGAAAAUCAGUUUUUCUCAUUUCUGAAGCUGGUGCAGCAGUCCUAGGAAACAAAUAUGGGUGCCUCCCAUUUCAAGGAUCUGCGGGGUCUGAGAUCUGUGAGUCCCCUGGAAUUUGCCAGAUUCAGGGCUGGAUGCAGAUCGAACCAGAACAAAGCAGCUUAUCAUGGCAGAAAUAGCCCAGACUGGCUCAGAUCAAGUCAACUCCCCUUGAAGUGGUUCAGACCUUCAUCGGCGGCCCGGCCCGAGAGCCUGACACCGAGCUUCAGAGCCCAGACUCAGGAGCCAGAAACAAAAGGUUCAAACCCUGCCUCUGUCUCUCCGGAACCCUGAAACCUGAGGCCGGUGCCUUAAGCUCUCUGCGCCUCGGUUUCCCCCGGUUUAAAAUGAGGACACAGUCUCUACCUAUGGGGCAGAAGUGAGGAUUCUAUGACUUCAUAUAUGGAAAGCACUUGGAGUCCACAAUGCUGGCAUGUCACCCGCACAAGAUCAGGGGUUGAUCUUAUUAAACGAACUGGAACCCAAACAGCCAUAAAGGAGUUCAGGAUAGCUGAGGAGACACCGAUGCACUGAAACCGACAUAAAGUGAGUCAAAUCGGUUAAAACUAGGUGGCGCUAUUGUAAACCUGCUUAAACCUUUUGGGCGGACCGGUACCAGGUCACACUAAUCCCUCGGGGCUAGAACAGGUCUGGAUCCCGCACGCACGUGCUCACUCACCCAGCAGGUCUCUGCUAUCUGUGUGUGUCAACUUGGACAGAAACCAACGGCCCCACGUGUCUCCAGGAGAAAGUGACAUCCAGGCAGAGGGCUGUGGAAGGGAUUCCAUGCCUGAUAUGGACCAUGACAUGGUCUCCGGUCAGAAACACAGUCAACAUCUCCUAAAAGGAACACCUUUCUUAGGUCAGGUCAGGGCUCAACUAUCACGAACCUAUCUCACGCUAAUUAGACAAGAGACGGAUAUGUUGCUCCAGGAUCUUGGGGGAUCUCCUGGAACUCAGGGACAAGAAGUGUAGCAGAAGCUCCUGGGGAUCUGGAAGUUUGCCAGAACCCGAGACCCCCCCCCUCUGGCUCUGGUGCAGGGAGGGCAAGCAAGUCCUUAAGGCCGACAGCUCAGUGAGCAAGCAGGAUGAGUGAGAAGCCAAGACCUCCAAGAAGAAGCCCUUGGCUCUGCCAGUCACUCAGCUCGGAACCGGGGCAAUCUGUGCACACCACUGCCCCCUGGUGGCCGAUCUGAGAAUUCUCCAUGAAUAGCCUCAGGUGUCCAGUGGAGGCAGAGGGAAUCCGGGAACUGAAGGUGAGGAGGAAGUUGAGUGGCAUCGCAGAGGUCUCAAAACCCAUGAAAUCCUGGUCUGAGAAUGUCUGAGUCCAACAGGCCCUCAGAGGCCAUGUGGCCUGAGCUCUUCAUGAUGUACGGGGAAAUCAAAUCUCAGUAAGGGUGCUGCCAGGGGGUAGAGAUCACCGGACUUGGUGUAAAAUUCAAAAAGCCCAGGAAAUCCCAAGUAGGAUAAAUUCUUUUUUUUUUUUUUAAGAUUUUAUUUAUUUAUUUGCCAGAGAGAGAGAGAAAGGGAGCGAG
This is a long non-coding RNA of Mustela erminea (ermine), 4771 nucleotides long. RefSeq lists it as uncharacterized. NCBI's taxonomy places the organism in Eukaryota, Metazoa, Chordata, Mammalia, Carnivora, Mustelidae. The transcript has 3 exons. The record is from RefSeq and is a predicted model, not a curated record.